This 566-nucleotide ribosomal RNA is filed under the name uncultured Roseobacter sp. RNAcentral describes it as "bacterial SSU rRNA". It matches the Rfam family "Bacterial small subunit ribosomal RNA", at positions 334 to 918 of the family's 1533-position model. Lineage: Bacteria; Pseudomonadati; Pseudomonadota; Alphaproteobacteria; Rhodobacterales; Roseobacteraceae. The record is from RNAcentral.
GGGGCCUACGGGAGGCAGCAGUGGGGAAUCUUAGACAAUGGGCGCAAGCCUGAUCUAGCCAUGCCGCGUGAGUGAAGAAGGCCUUAGGGUCGUAAAGCUCUUUCGCCUGUGAAGAUAAUGACUGUAGCAGGUAAAGAAACCCCGGCUAACUCCGUGCCAGCAGCCGCGGUAAUACGGAGGGGGUUAGCGUUGUUCGGAGUUACUGGGCGUAAGGCGCGCGUAGGCGGACAUUUAAGUCAGAGGUGAAAUCCCAGGGCUCAACCCUGGAACUGCCUUUGAUACUGGGUGUCUUGAGUUCGAGAGAGGUGAGUGGAAUUCCGAGUGUAGAGGUGAAAUUCGUAGAUAUUCGGAGGAACACCAGUGGCGAAGGCGGCUCACUGGCUCGAUACUGACGCUGAGGUGCGAAAGUGUGGGGAGCAAACAGGAUUAGAUACCCUGGUAGUCCACACCGUAAACGAUGAAUGCCAGUCGUCGGGCAGUAUACUGUUCGGUGACACACCUAACGGAUUAAGCAUUCCGCCUGGGGAGUACGGUCGCAAGAUUAAAACUCAAAGGAAUUGACGGGG